UACGUAGGGUGCAAGCGUUGUCCGGAAUUAUUGGGCGUAAAGAGCUUGUAGGCGGUUUGUCGCGUCUGCUGUGAAAUCUCGGGGCUCAACCCCGAACUUGCAGUGGGUACGGGCAGACUAGAGUGUGGUAGGGGAGACUGGAAUUCCUGGUGUAGCGGUGAAAUGCGCAGAUAUCAGGAGGAACACCGAUGGCGAAGGCAGGUCUCUGGGCCACUACUGACGCUGAGAAGCGAAAGCAUGGGGAGCGAACAGG
RNAcentral lists this ribosomal RNA (253 nucleotides) under uncultured bacterium. Its description in RNAcentral is "partial 16S ribosomal RNA". It matches the Rfam family "Bacterial small subunit ribosomal RNA", at positions 524 to 776 of the family's 1533-position model. The record is from RNAcentral.